RNAcentral lists this unclassified non-coding RNA (345 nucleotides) under soil metagenome. RNAcentral's name for it is "partial contains 5.8S ribosomal RNA, internal transcribed spacer 2, and large subunit ribosomal RNA". The stretch from base 1 to 120 matches the Rfam family "5.8S ribosomal RNA", at positions 35 to 154 of the family's 154-position model. The record is from RNAcentral.
GAUGAAGAACGCAGCGAAAUGCGAUAAGUAAUGUGAAUUGCAGAAUUCAGUGAAUCAUCGAAUCUUUGAACGCACAUUGCGCCCUUUGGUAUUCCGAGGGGCAUGCCUGUCCGAGCGUCAUUGCUGCCCUCAAGCACGGCUUGUGUGUUGGGCCUCCGUCCUCCUCCCGGGGGACGGGCCCGAAAGGCAGCGGCGGCACCGCGUCCGGUCCUCGAGCGUAUGGGGCUUCGUCACCCGCUCUUGUAGGCCCGGCCGGCGCUUGCCGACACAUCAAUCUUUUUUCCAGGUUGACCUCGGAUCAGGUAGGGAUACCCGCUGAACUUAAGCAUAUCAAUAAGCGGAGGA